RNAcentral lists this ribosomal RNA (458 nucleotides) under uncultured Anaerovibrio sp. RNAcentral's name for it is "bacterial SSU rRNA". It matches the Rfam family "Bacterial small subunit ribosomal RNA", at positions 341 to 792 of the family's 1533-position model. Lineage: Bacteria; Bacillati; Bacillota; Negativicutes; Selenomonadales; Selenomonadaceae. The record is from RNAcentral.
ACGGAAGGCAGCAGUGGGGAAUCUUCCGCAAUGGGCGCAAGCCUGACGGAGCAACGCCGCGUGAAUGAAGAAGGUCUUCGGAUCGUAAAGUUCUGUUGAGAGGGACGAGAGAUAACUUCAGGAAAUGGGAGUUAGAGGACGGUACCUUUCGAGGAAGCCACGGCUAACUACGUGCCAGCAGCCGCGGUAAUACGUAGGUGGCGAGCGUUGCCCAGAAUUAUUGGGCGUAAAGGGAGCGCAGGUGGGAAAGUAAGUCAGUCUUAAAAGUGCGGGGCUCAACCCCGUGAUGGGAUUGAAACUACUUUUCUUGAGUGCAGGAGAGGAAAGCGGAAUUCCUAGUGUAGCGGUGAAAUGCGUAGAUAUUGGGAGGAACACCGGCGGCGAAGGCGGCUCACUGGACGAUAACUGACGUUGAUGCUCGAAAGCGUGGGGAGCAAACAGGAUUAGAUACCCUGGUA